UAGCUCAGUGGGUUGAGCACGGUGCUGACAACAAUUUCAACACCGAGGUCGCGGGUUCGAUUCCCGC
Molecule: transfer RNA, 67 nt
Filed under: Apaloderma vittatum (bar-tailed trogon)
Lineage: Eukaryota; Metazoa; Chordata; Aves; Trogoniformes; Trogonidae
Rfam family: tRNA
About the family: Transfer RNA (tRNA) molecules are approximately 80 nucleotides in length.
Source: Rfam by way of RNAcentral